GACGAACGCUGGCGGCGUGCCUAAACACAUGCAAGUCGAACGGAGUUGUUCCUUCGGGGACAACUUAGUGGCGAACGGGUGAGUAACGCGUGAGAAACCUGCCUUUCAGUGGGGGACAACAGUUGGAAACGACUGCUAAUACCGCAUAAUGUUAUUUGGGGGCAUCCCUGAAUAACCAAAGAUUUAUUGCUGAAAGAUGGUCUCGCGUCUGAUUAGCUAGUUGGUGAGGUAACGGCUCACCAAGGCGACGAUCAGUAGCCGGUCUGAGAGGAUGAACGGCCACAUUGGGACUGAGAUACGGCCCAGACUCCUACGGGAGGCAGCAGUGGGGAAUAUUGGGCAAUGGGCGAAAGCCUGACCCAGCAACGCCGCGUGAAGGAAGAAGGGCCCUUCGGGUUGGUAACUUCUUUACCUAGGACGAAGAACGUAGACGGUACCGU
RNAcentral lists this ribosomal RNA (440 nucleotides) under uncultured bacterium. Its description in RNAcentral is "bacterial SSU rRNA". It matches the Rfam family "Bacterial small subunit ribosomal RNA", at positions 28 to 481 of the family's 1533-position model. The record is from RNAcentral.